This 1544-nucleotide long non-coding RNA is filed under the name Sus scrofa (pig). RNAcentral's name for it is "lncRNA (ENSSSCG00035019724.1)". The record is from RNAcentral. Lineage: Eukaryota; Metazoa; Chordata; Mammalia; Artiodactyla; Suidae.
ACUAGACUGGUUCGGUAAUUCGGUUUUCCUGCACUGACUCGGUCAUCGACUAUUUAGCCCUGGAAUGAUUAGGUCAUAAGCUAUUUACCUCUGGACUAAGUCGGUCAUCAGCUAUUUACUCUGGUUUACUCGUGGGCAUGGACUGGUUCGGAAAUCAACUCAUUUUCCCUGCACUGACUCUGUAAUUAAUCUAUUGUUUCUCCUGGGAUCGCCUGUUUUUCCCUGGCUCAGUUCUCAACUGUCUCCCCUGGGCUAACUGGACAUUGUUUUCCUUGGAGUGACUAAGUGGGUCAUCAUCUGUUUCCACAGACUCAGCGGGGUCACUCCUUACAGGCCAUCUCAUCAUCCACUGUUUACCGUGGAGUGAUUUGUUUGCAGCCCGUUUUCACGCAGCGGAGGGGAUUUCCGUCUUUCCCUCAUCUGAUCUUGUCCCUGAACGGACUCGGUCAUCCACUGUGAGCCCUGGACUGACUCUGUUAUCCACUGCUCUUCCUGGGCGGAGGCUGAUGACGCUUCACCCUACUGGUUCUGGUUCUUAAAAGCGGGCUUCCGGGAACUUAAAACAAGGUGGUUCUAUAUUCACGUGGAUGAAAACACAGAGCGGUACCUGAGUUUCCCCUCAGAGGAGUUAUCCCAGUUUGCAUCCCAACCAAGAACAUACAGAGGUCUCUCCAAAGCCUGGACUUACGGGGACGUAAGACCGUGGGCCUCGACGCAAAGGACAAAGUUAGUGUCUUUAAUCUGCAUUCGGGGAAUUCUCCAUCCCGCACCGGCUGAGUCCAGAGAAACUGGAAAACGGAAAAAGGUAAGAAGUGUCUGUUGGACCUGAAAUUCUCCGUACGCCCCACCUGAUAGGCUGGGUUCCUAGAAGCUCAGUUCAAAGAGAGGGCUCUUGCUGGGAGGUUCAGCGUUGGGCUUUGAGUAGCAGAGGACACCCGGGGAGCCGCGGAGAGACAGGUUUGUGAAACCUACUGUCACGCUGCUUGGCCUGCCAAAGUGGCUUGGGUAUCCAGCAGCGUGGUUGUUGGUGUGUGGGCGUGUUCGUGAAGGGGGUGGAGGGCAGCCAGACCCUCCCGUUCCCCAUGUGUCCUGGCGGAGCAUCCUCAGGGGCCAGUGGCUGGAGCCUUCGCCACCCAGGGGCCGUUCUCAAUGACUUGUUGAAACUCGGUGAGCCCACGUGAGAGGUGUGCCUUGGCGUGAUGGCGCAGUGGGAUGCUGUUGCCUUGGUAACCCCGGUGACGUGUGGUCCUCUGAGCCGGCCUAGGGCAGAUAGGUGAAGCCCUGAAGACCCUAAACAUGGUGGGAUUCAGAGGAUUUAAUGUGCGAAGUGCGCACGAUCCUGUGAAUAAGAGGGAGUGGCUUUUAGUAACCAGCAGGGCCGGGAUUCAGCAAAAUUGAUUACCUCUGGAGUUUCCUGGUGGCUCAGUGGUUAAGGAUCUAGCAUUGUCACUACGGCGGCAUGGGUUUGAUCCCUGACCUGGGAACUUCCAUGUGCCAGAGGUGCAGCCAAUAAAAUUAAAUUAAAUUAAAAAAUUGAUUAUCCC